AUUGAACGCUGGCGGCAGGCCUAACACAUGCAAGUCGAGCGAGCGGCGGGCGGGUGAGUAAUGUAUGGGGACUGCCCGUUAGAGGGGGAUAACUAAUGGAAACGGUAUCUAAUACCGUAUACUCUCCGAUAACCAUUUUGGGAUUAGCUAGUAGGUGAGGUAAUGGCUCACCUAGUCAACGAUCCCUAGCUGGUCUGCGAGGAUGAUCAGCCACACUGGGACUGAGACACGGCCCAGACUCCUACGGAGGCAGCAGUGGGGAAUAUUGCACAAUGGGCGCAAGCCUGAUGCAGCCAUGCCGCGUGUAUGAAGAAGGCCCUAGGGUUGUAAAGUACUUUCAGUCGGGAGGCGUUACCGACAGAAGAAGCACCGGCUAACUCCGUGCCAGCAGCCGCGGUAAUAC
RNAcentral lists this ribosomal RNA (403 nucleotides) under uncultured bacterium. Its description in RNAcentral is "partial 16S ribosomal RNA". It matches the Rfam family "Bacterial small subunit ribosomal RNA", at positions 30 to 526 of the family's 1533-position model. The record is from RNAcentral.